UGGGGAAUAUUGCACAAUGGACGGAAGUCUGAUGCAGCAACGCCGCGUGGAGGAUGACACAUUUCGGUGCGUAAACUCCUUUUAUAUGAGAAGAUAAUGACGGUAUCAUAUGAAUAAGCACCGGCUAACUCCGUGCCAGCAGCCGCGGUAAUACGGAGGGUGCAAGCGUUACUCGGAAUCACUGGGCGUAAAGAGCGUGUAGGCGGGUUGAUAAGUUUGAAGUGAAAUCCUAUAGCUUAACUAUAGAACUGCUUUGAAAACUGUUAACCUAGAAUAUGGGAGAGGUAGAUGGAAUUUCUGGUGUAGGGGUAAAAUCCGUAGAGAUCAGAAGGAAUACCGAUUGCGAAGGCGAUCUACUGGAACAUUAUUGACGCUGAGACGCGAAAGCGUGGGUAGCAAACA
This 402-nucleotide ribosomal RNA is filed under the name uncultured prokaryote. RNAcentral's name for it is "bacterial SSU rRNA". It matches the Rfam family "Bacterial small subunit ribosomal RNA", at positions 355 to 774 of the family's 1533-position model. The record is from RNAcentral.